RNAcentral lists this ribosomal RNA (481 nucleotides) under uncultured bacterium. Its description in RNAcentral is "partial 16S ribosomal RNA". It matches the Rfam family "Bacterial small subunit ribosomal RNA", at positions 28 to 506 of the family's 1533-position model. The record is from RNAcentral.
GAUGAACGCUAGCGGCAGGCCUAAUACAUGCAAGUCGAACGAGAUUAAGAGGCUUUCUUCUUAUGAAAGUGGCGCACGGGUGCGUAACGCGUAUGCAACCUACCUUAAUCAGGGGGAUAGCCCGAAGAAAUUCGGAUUAAGACCGCAUAAAAACACAGGAUAGCAUUAUCCAAUGUUCAAAUAUUUAUAGGGUUAAGAUGGGCAUGCGUGUCAUUAGCUAGUUGGCGGGGUAACGGCCCACCAAGGCGACGAUGACUAGGGGAUCUGAGAGGAUGACCCCCCACACUGGUACUGAGACACGGACCAGAAGCCUACGGGAGGAAGCAGUAAGGAAGAUUGGUCAAUGGAGGGAACUCUGAACCAGCAAUGCCGAGUGAAGGAAGACAGCCCUCUGGGUCGUAAACUGCUUUUAUACGGGAAUAAACCUUUCUACGUGUAGGAAGCUGAAUGUACUGAAGGAAUAAGGAUCGGCUACCUCCGU